GACGAACGCUGGCGGCGUGCAUAACACAUGCAAGUCAAGGGGGGUCAGUAGCAAUACUGGCAACCGGCGAACGGGUACGUAACACGUAAGCGACCUACCUCGAUGUGGGGCAUAGCCGGCCUAACGGCCGGGUAAUUCCGCAUGUGAUCCUGGAGAGGCAUCUCUCCGGAAUGAAACCAGUAAUGGGCAUUGAGAGGGGCUUGCGGCCUAUCAGCUUGUUGGUGAGGUAACGGCUCACCAAGGCUACGACGGGUAGCUGGUCUGAGAGGAUGGCCAGCCACAUUGGGACUGAGAAACGGCCCAGACUCCUACGGGAGGCAGCAGUGGGGAAUCUUGCGCAAUGGUCUAACGACUGACGCAGCGACGCCGCGUGAGGGAUGAAGCUCCUCGGAGUGUAAACCU
This 402-nucleotide ribosomal RNA is filed under the name uncultured bacterium. RNAcentral's name for it is "bacterial SSU rRNA". It matches the Rfam family "Bacterial small subunit ribosomal RNA", at positions 28 to 432 of the family's 1533-position model. The record is from RNAcentral.